RNAcentral lists this ribosomal RNA (293 nucleotides) under uncultured bacterium. Its description in RNAcentral is "partial 16S ribosomal RNA". It matches the Rfam family "Archaeal small subunit ribosomal RNA", at positions 455 to 747 of the family's 1478-position model. The record is from RNAcentral.
GUGCCAGCAGCCGCGGUAAUACCGGCAGCCCGGGUGAUGGCCGAUCUUAUUGGGCCUAAAGCGUCUGUAGCUGGCUGCGCAAGUCCGUCGGGAAAUCCACCCGCCCAACGGGUGGGCGUCCGGUAGAAGCUGGCCGGCUUGGAACCGGAAGGCUCAGAGAGUACGUCCGGGGUAGGAGUGAAAUCCCGUAAUCCCGGACGGACUACCGAUGGCGAAAGCACUCUGAGAAGACGGCUUCGACAGUGAGGGACGAAAGCUCGGGUCUCAAACUGGAUUAGAAACCCUUGUAGUCC